Struthio camelus australis is the source of this 903-nucleotide non-coding RNA. Lineage: Eukaryota; Metazoa; Chordata; Aves; Struthioniformes; Struthionidae. The record is from RefSeq and is a predicted model, not a curated record.
UCCAGGAGCUGCCCCCCAGCCAGCCCCAGGAGUGCCUGGUGCGGGUCUACAUCAUCCGGGCUUUCGACCUGCCCCCCAGGGACAGGAACGGGCUGUGCGACCCCUACAUCCGCAUCUCGCUGGGGACAAAGAAGGUGGGCGACCGCAAUCAGUAUGUGCCCAACACCCUGCAGCCCGUUUUUGGCAGGCUGUUCGAGCUGACGGGCACCAUCCCACUGGAGAAGGACCUGCACGUCUCGCUCUUCGAUUACGACCUGCUGCCACCUGACCAGGAGAUCGGCAGCACCAGCAUCGACCUGGAGAACCGCCUGCUGUCCCGCUCCCGCGCCCACUGCGGGCUGCCCCGGCUUUACCGCACGUGGGUGCUGUGGGGGCACGGGGGUGGGCACGGGGCAACGGGCACCCAGGGAGUGAGGCCAGGUGGGUGCAGGGGAAUGGCCACAAGGAGAUGGUUACAGGUGGGCACAGGAGGAUGGGCACAAGGAGAUGGUUUGGAGUGGGUGCAGAAAGGUGGGCACGGGGAGAUGGUUACAGGAGGGCACAAGAGGACGGGCACAAGGAGCUGGUUUUGGGUGGAUGCAGAAGGGUGGGCAUAGCAGGAUGGGCAUGGGAUGAUGGUUUUGGGUGGGCACAAGAGCAGGGGCAUAAGGAGAUGGUUUAGAGAGGGUGCAGAAGGAUGGGCAUGGGGAGAUGGUUACGGGUGGGCAUAGGAGGAUGGACACGGGGAGAUGGUUUUGGGUGGGCACAGGAGGGUGGGCACAGGACAGGCACAAGAAGAUUGUUUUGGGUGGGCGUAGGAGGAUGGGCACAGCAGGAUGAGCAGAGGGUGAUGGAUGUGGGUGGGCACAAGAGGCUGGACCCGGCUCAGGCAUCGUGGGGUGGCACGUGGCUACGUGCACGGCA